Mercenaria mercenaria is the source of this 925-nucleotide RNA transcript. RefSeq lists it as uncharacterized. The record is from RefSeq and is a predicted model, not a curated record. The transcript is spliced from 5 exons. NCBI's taxonomy places the organism in Eukaryota, Metazoa, Mollusca, Bivalvia, Venerida, Veneridae.
AAAUGAAGAUUAAACAAACAAAAAACAGGAUGAAAUCCGAAUGCGUUCUGCGCACGCAUUUUUCAUUUUUGUACUUCCUGGUUCACCAUUGAGCAAAAUGGAGUCGAGUAGUCAGCAUUACACAAUUUAUCAAACUAUGGUACACCAUAACGUUACCAACAAGUACCAGCCACAUGCUCUCUAUCCGGCGUUAGAUGACACAGAUUCAUCUGAAUACACAGAUUCAUCUGAAUACGAGUACGAAGAAUACGAGGACGAGGAAGAAGUGUAUACAGGCUUUACACAGAGAGUUCAAAAACAGCCAAAAAAAAAGAUUGUGAAACCAAAGGCAAAGAAGGCUGUGCAGCCAAAACCAAAACCGAAAGGGGUAGUGACACCUGCGAAAAGAAAGGCUGUGACUGCAGGGCCUGCCAAGAAGAAAAAAGCAUACCCUGGAGCUGAAAAGGGCCAGGGUGGAGAGAUUAUGUUUGAGCUGUCUAUGAUGCGGGGAAUUUAAAGGAAAGCUAAUGGUAGGGAUCCGGGAGUAUUAUGAAGAAGGUGGCAAAUUGCUUCCAAGCAAGAAAGGAAUAUCUUUAUCCGUGGAACAGUGGAAUAGGUUGAAGGGACAAAUGAAACAGAUUGAUAAAGUUGUGAAAGAUCUCUCAUAAACUUUAUAUUUCAGUAUCCCGUACGUGUUAUGCGCCUGUAAAUUAAUUUACAUAUCAACUAAAAUGUGUUUAAAAUAUUCCGUUUAUAGGAUGCAACAGAAUUUUAUCUUUAUACAUUGUAUUUUACUGGAAGCUGUAUCGUUAACGGAUCAUGGAGAAGAAUUCUAUAAGACAUUGUCUUUCAUUCUUAUCCUUUCCUUAAUAUCAUGUUAAUUCGUUGUUGUAAUUGUACAAAUCUGUAAUGUACUCUUGGGAAUACAUGUGUUUAAACUAACGGA